This 499-nucleotide ribosomal RNA is filed under the name uncultured bacterium. Its description in RNAcentral is "bacterial SSU rRNA". It matches the Rfam family "Bacterial small subunit ribosomal RNA", at positions 1002 to 1501 of the family's 1533-position model. The record is from RNAcentral.
GGAAACAGGAGAGUGCCUUCGGGAACGCAGUGACAGGUGGUGCAUGGCUGUCGUCAGCUCGUGUCGUGAGAUGUUGGGUUAAGUCCCGCAACGAGCGCAACCCACGUCUUUAGUUGCCAGCAUUUAGUUGGGCACUCUAGAGAGACUGCCGGUGAUAAACCGGAGGAAGGUGUGGAUGACGUCAAGUCAUCAUGCCCCUUACAUCCUGGGCUACACACGUACUACAAUGCUACGGACAAAGGGCAGCAAGUUCGCGAGGACAAGCAAAUCCCAUAAACCGUGGCUCAGUUCAGAUCGUAGGCUGCAACUCGCCUACGUGAAGGCGGAAUCGCUAGUAAUCGCAGGUCAGCAUACUGCGGUGAAUACGUUCCCGGGCCUUGUACACACCGCCCGUCACACCAUGGAAGUUGGCCACGCCCGAAGCCGUUACUCCAACCCUUGUGGAGGAGGACGUCGAAGGUGGGGCUGAUGACUGGGGUGAAGUCGUAACAAGGUAGCC